GAUGAACGCUGGCGACGUGCCUAAUACAUGCAAGUCGAGCGAACAGACGAGGAGCUUGCUCCUCUGACGUUAGCGGCGGACGGGUGAGUAACACGUGGAUAACCUACCUAUAAGACUGGGAUAACUUCGGGAAACCGGAGCUAAUACCGGAUAAUAUAUUGAACCGCAUGGUUCAAUAGUGAAAGACGGUUUUGCUGUCACUUAUAGAUGGAUCCGCGCCGCAUUAGCUAGUUGGUAAGGUAACGGCUUACCAAGGCGACGAUGCGUAGCCGACCUGAGAGGGUGAUCGGCCACACUGGAACUGAGACACGGUCCAGACUCCUACGGGAGGCAGCAGUAGGGAAUCUUCCGCAAUGGGCGAAAGCCUGACGGAGCAACGCCGCGUGAGUGAUGAAGGUCUUCGGAUCGUAAAACUCUGUUAUUAGGGAAGAACAAAUGUGUAAGUAACUAUGCACGUCUUGACGGUACCUAAUCAGAAAGCCACGGCUAACUACGUG
This 497-nucleotide ribosomal RNA is filed under the name uncultured bacterium. RNAcentral's name for it is "partial 16S ribosomal RNA". It matches the Rfam family "Bacterial small subunit ribosomal RNA", at positions 28 to 507 of the family's 1533-position model. The record is from RNAcentral.